Molecule: transfer RNA, 73 nt
Filed under: Bos taurus (domestic cattle)
Lineage: Eukaryota; Metazoa; Chordata; Mammalia; Artiodactyla; Bovidae
Also listed under: 3 other names
Rfam family: tRNA
About the family: Transfer RNA (tRNA) molecules are approximately 80 nucleotides in length. Their secondary structure includes four short double-helical elements and three loops (D, anti-codon, and T loops). Further hydrogen bonds mediate the characteristic L-shaped molecular structure. tRNAs have two regions of fundamental functional importance: the anti-codon, which is responsible for specific mRNA codon recognition, and the 3' end, to which the tRNAs corresponding amino acid is attached (by aminoacyl-tRNA synthetases). tRNAs cope with the degeneracy of the genetic code in two manners: having more than one tRNA (with a specific anti-codon) for a particular amino acid; and 'wobble' base-pairing, i.e. permitting non-standard base-pairing at the 3rd anti-codon position.
Source: Rfam by way of RNAcentral
UUCCUUGUAGUCCAGUGGUUAGGACUCUGAACUUUCACUGCAGAAGGCCUGGGUUCAGUCCCUGGUCGGGGAA